UCAUAUAAUACAGAAGGAGAGGAGACGCUCUUAUUCCAGGUAUAAUACUCAUAUAAUACAGAAGGAGAGGAGACGCUCUUAUUCCAGGUAUAAUACUCAUAUAAUACAGAAUGAGAGGAAACACUCUUAUUCCAGGUAUUAUACUCAUAUAAUACAGAAAGAUCCAGAAGGAGAGGAGACGCUCUUAUUCCAGGUAUAAUACUCAUAUAAUACAGAAAGAUCCAGAAGGAGAGGAGAUGCUCUUAUUCCAGGUAUAAUACUCAUAUAAUACAGAAAGAUCCAGAAGGAGAGGAGACGCUCUUAUUCCAGGUAUAAUACUCAUAUAAUACAGAAGGAGAGGAGACGCUCUUAUUCCAGGUAUAAUACUCAUAUAAUACAGGAGAGACACUCUUAUUCCAGGUAUAAUACAGAAGGAGAGGAGACGCUCUUAUUCCAGGUAUAAUACUCAUAUAAUACAGAAGGAGAGGAGACGCUCUUAUUCCAGGUAUAAUACUCAUAUAAUACAGAAGGAGAGGAGACACUCUUAUUCCAGGUAUAAUACUCAUAUAAUACAGAAGGAGAGGAGACACUCUUAUUCCAGGUAUAAUACUCAUAUAAUACGGAAGGAGAGGAGACGCUCUUAUUCCAGGUAUAAUACUCAUAUAAUACAGAAAGAUCCAG
RNAcentral lists this long non-coding RNA (660 nucleotides) under Salmo salar (Atlantic salmon). RNAcentral describes it as "lncRNA (ENSSSAG00000096785.1)". Lineage: Eukaryota; Metazoa; Chordata; Actinopteri; Salmoniformes; Salmonidae. The record is from RNAcentral.